AAGAGUCAGUGGUCCCAGGAGAGGCCAAGAAGAAAGG
Molecule: transfer RNA, 37 nt
Filed under: Alexandrium tamarense
Lineage: Eukaryota; Dinophyceae; Gonyaulacales; Pyrocystaceae
Description: partial Selenocysteine transfer RNA
Source: RNAcentral